RNAcentral lists this ribosomal RNA (459 nucleotides) under uncultured bacterium. RNAcentral describes it as "partial 16S ribosomal RNA". It matches the Rfam family "Bacterial small subunit ribosomal RNA", at positions 339 to 795 of the family's 1533-position model. The record is from RNAcentral.
CUACGGGAGGCACCAGUAAGGAAUAUUGCGCAAUGGAGGCAACUCUGACGCAGCCAUGCCGCGUGCAGGAAGAAGGCCUUAUGGGUCGUAAACUGCUUUUAUUUAGGAAUAAACCCCCGAACGUGUUCGGGGCUGAAGGUACUAAACGAAUAAGCACCGGCUAACUCCGUGCCAGCAGCCGCGGUAAUACGGAGGGUGCAAGCGUUAUCAGGAUUUAUUGGGUUUAAAGGGUGCGCAGGCGGGCUAUUAAGUCAGUGGUGAAAUCCCGGGGCUCAACUCCGGAACUGCCAUUGAUACUGAUAGUCUUGAGUUUGGUUGAAGUGGGCGGAAUGUAGCAUGUAGCGGUGAUAUGCAUAGAUAUGCUACAGAACACCAAUCGCGAAGGCAGCUCACUAAGCCAAAACUGACGCUCAUGCACGAAAGCGUGGGGAUCAAACAGGAUUAGAUACCCUUGUAGUC